This 427-nucleotide ribosomal RNA is filed under the name uncultured bacterium. RNAcentral's name for it is "bacterial SSU rRNA". It matches the Rfam family "Bacterial small subunit ribosomal RNA", at positions 355 to 776 of the family's 1533-position model. The record is from RNAcentral.
UCGGGAAUCUUGGGCAAUGGGCGAAAGCCUGACCCAGCGACGCCGCGUGGGGGAGGAAGCCCUUCGGGGUGUAAACCCCUGUCGUCCGGGACGAAGGCUAGGGGUUGAAAGGCCUCUGGCUGACGGUACCGGAAGAGGAAGCCCCGGCUAACUACGUGCCAGCAGCCGCGGUAAGACGUAGGGGGCGAGCGUUGUCCGGAAUCACUGGGCGUAAAGGGCGCGUAGGCGGCCUGGCAAGUCGGAUGUGAAAGGCCCCGGCUCAACCGGGGAGGUGCAUCCGAAACUGCUGGGCUUGAGGGCAGGAGAGGGCAGCGGAAUUCCCGGUGGAGCGGUGAAAUGCGUAGAGAUCGGGAGGAACACCAGUGGCGAAGGCGGCUGCCUGGCCUGUCCCUGACGCUGAGGCGCGACAGCGUGGGGAGCGAACGGG